GACGAACGCUGGCGGCGUGCUUAACACAUGCAAGUCGAACGGAAAGGCCCUGCUUUUGUGGGGUGCUCGAGUAGCGAACGGGUGAGUAACACGUGCGUAACCUGCCCUUGACUUUGGGAUAACUUCAGGAAACUGGGGCUAAUACCGGAUAGGAGCUCCUGCUGCAUGGUGGGGGUUGGAAAGUUUCGGCGGUUGGGGAUGGACUCGCGGCUUAUCAGCUUGUUGGUGGGGUAGUGGCUUACCAAGGCUUUGACGGGUAGCCGGCCUGAGAGGGUGACCGGCCACAUUGGGACUGAGAUACGGCCCAGACUCCUACGGGAGGCAGCAGUGGGGAAUAUUGCACAAUGGGCGGAAGCCUGAUGCAGCAACGCCGCGUGCGGGAUGACGGCCUUCGGGUUGUAAACCGCUUUCGCCUGUGACGAAGCGUGAGUGACAGUAAUGGGUAAAGAAGCACCGGCUAACUACGUG
Molecule: ribosomal RNA, 468 nt
Filed under: uncultured bacterium
Lineage: Bacteria
Description: partial 16S ribosomal RNA
Rfam family: Bacterial small subunit ribosomal RNA
Source: RNAcentral